Molecule: ribosomal RNA, 429 nt
Filed under: Chloroflexota bacterium
Lineage: Bacteria; Bacillati; Chloroflexota
Description: Chloroflexi bacterium partial 16S ribosomal RNA
Rfam family: Bacterial small subunit ribosomal RNA
Source: RNAcentral
UGGGGAAUAUUGCACAAUGGGCGCAAGCCUGAUGCAGCCAUGCCGCGUGUAUGAAGAAGGCCUUCGGGUUGUAAAGUACUUUCAGCGGGGAGGAAGGGAGUAAAGUUAAUACCUUUACUCAUUGACGUUACCCGCAGAAGAAGCACCGGCUAACUCCGUGCCAGCAGCCGCGGUAAUACGGAGGGUGCAAGCAUUAAUCGGAAUUACUGGGCGUAAAGCGCACGCAGGCGGUUUGUUAAGUCAGAUGUGAAAUCCCCGGGCUCAACCUGGAAACUGCAUCUGAUACUGGCAAGCUUGAGUAUCGUAGAGGGGGGUAGAAUUCCAGGUGUAGCGGUGAAAUGCGUAGAGAUCUGGAGGAAUACCGGUGGCGAAGGCGGCCCCCUGGACAAAGACUGACGCUCAGGUGCGAAAGCGUGGGGAGCAAACAGG